GAUGAACGCUAGCUACAUGCUUAACACAUGCAAGUCGAGCGGAAACGGCAUUUAGUGCUUGGACUCUUUGGACGCCGACCGGCGCACGGGUGAGUAACGCGCAUCCAACUUUCCUAUGACUACGGGAUAACCUGCCGAAUGGCAGACUAAUACCUUAUGUGCUUCACUGAGGGCGUCAGAUGUGUAGUACAGAUCGAUCGGUUAUGGAUGGGGAUGCGUCUGUUUAGCUUGUUGUCGAGGUAACGGCCCACCAAGGCUACGAUCAGUAGGGGUUCUGAGAGGAAGGUCCCCCAGGUUGGAACAGAGGCACGGGCCAAACACGGACGGGAGGGAGCGGUAAGUGAGAUUAGUGAGUGGACGAGAGCCUGAGCCAGCCACGUAGCGUGAAGGAUGACGGCGCUAUGGAUUGUAAACUGCUUUUGAAUGAAGAUAAGGUCAAUCACGUGUGAGUGUUUGCAGGUACCAGAAGAAUAAGGACCGGCUAAUUCCGUG
Molecule: ribosomal RNA, 492 nt
Filed under: uncultured bacterium
Lineage: Bacteria
Description: partial 16S ribosomal RNA
Rfam family: Bacterial small subunit ribosomal RNA
Source: RNAcentral